Molecule: unclassified non-coding RNA, 324 nt
Filed under: Hevea brasiliensis (rubber tree)
Lineage: Eukaryota; Viridiplantae; Streptophyta; Magnoliopsida; Malpighiales; Euphorbiaceae
Source: RNAcentral
UGCUUAUGAUUUUAUUCUAUCAUUGCCUGUGAAACCCGAUUCCGCUAUCUGGGGGGCUUUAUUAAAUGCGUGUAGGAUCCACAGGCAGAUUGAACUUGGAGAACUAGCAGCUAGACACAUCCUUGAAACAGAUGAGAGAGGUGUGGGAUAUUAUGUACUCCUCUGCAACUUCUAUUCUGACAAUGGUAGAUGGGAUGAAGUUGUAAGAUUAAGGAAGAUUAUGAUAGAAAAAGGACUGACUAUUGAUCCUGGUUGCAGCUGGAUAGAAGUAAAGGGAAAUGUGCAUGCAUUUCUUAGUGGUGAUAACUUACAUCCCCAAAGCAA